GAAGCGCUUGCCUAGACGAGACACAGUGCAUAAAAACUUGAUGGCUUUUGGGGGACAGGUAUGUUUUUCUUGCAGCUGCGGUUGUAAGGUCUUGGCAAGACAAGCA
This 106-nucleotide microRNA precursor is filed under the name Vombatus ursinus (common wombat). RNAcentral describes it as "miRNA (ENSVURG00010015534.1)". Lineage: Eukaryota; Metazoa; Chordata; Mammalia; Diprotodontia; Vombatidae. The record is from RNAcentral.